Molecule: ribosomal RNA, 503 nt
Filed under: uncultured bacterium
Lineage: Bacteria
Description: partial 16S ribosomal RNA
Rfam family: Bacterial small subunit ribosomal RNA
Source: RNAcentral
ACUGAACGCUGGCGGCAGGCUUAACACAUGCAAGUCGAGCGGGGUGAUGGUGCUUGCACAAUCACUUAGCGGCGGACGGGUGAGUAAUGCUUAGGAAUCUGCCUAUUAGUGGGGGACAACAUCUCGAAAGGGAUGCUAAUACCGCAUACGUCCUACGGGAGAAAGCAGGGGAUCACUUGUGACCUUGCGCUAAUAGAUGAGCCUAAGCCGGAUUAGCUAGUUGGUGGGGUAAAGGCCUACCAAGGCGACGAUCUGUAGCGGGUCUGAGAGGAUGAUCCGCCACACUGGGACUGAGACACGGCCCAGACUCCUACGGGAGGCAGCAGUGGGGAAUAUUGGACAAGGGGGGGAACCCUGAUCCAGCCAUGCCGCGUGUGUGAAGAAGGCCUUAUGGUUGUAAAGCACUUUAAGCGAGGAGGAGGCUCUUUUGGUUAAUACCCAAGAUGAGUGGACGUUACUCGCAGAAUAAGCACCGGCUAACUCUGUGCCAGCAGCCGCCGUAA